RNAcentral lists this ribosomal RNA (430 nucleotides) under Bacillus sp. Zap9. Its description in RNAcentral is "bacterial SSU rRNA". It matches the Rfam family "Bacterial small subunit ribosomal RNA", at positions 33 to 452 of the family's 1533-position model. The record is from RNAcentral. Lineage: Bacteria; Bacillati; Bacillota; Bacilli; Caryophanales; Bacillaceae.
ACGCUGGCGGCGUGCCUAUCAUGCAAGUCGAGCGAAUGGAUUGAGAGCUUGCUCUCAUGAAGUUAGCGGCGGACGGGUGAGUAACACGUGGGUAACCUGCCCAUAAGACUGGGAUAACUCCGGGAAACCGGGGCUAAUACCGGAUAACAUUUUGAACUGCAUGGUUCGAAAUUGAAAGGCGGCUUCGGCUGUCACUUAUGGAUGGACCCGCGUCGCAUUAGCUAGUUGGUGAGGUAACGGCUCACCAAGGCAACGAUGCGUAGCCGACCUGAGAGGGUGAUCGGCCACACUGGGACUGAGACACGGCCCANACUCCUACGGGAGGCANCANUAAGGAAUCUUCCGCAAUGGACGAAAGUCUGACGGAGCAACGCCGCNUGAGUGAUGAAGGCUUUCCGGUCCUACNCUUCUGUUGUNAAGAGAACAUCAC